Non-coding RNA from Delphinapterus leucas (beluga whale), 8135 nucleotides. Lineage: Eukaryota; Metazoa; Chordata; Mammalia; Artiodactyla; Monodontidae. The record is from RefSeq and is a predicted model, not a curated record.
ACGGCCGCCGCAGGGUUGGCGGACUUGAGGAGGAGCAAAGAUGGCGGAGUGAGGUGCGUUGAGGCCCCCUGGCCUUUGGGCCAGGGGGAGGGCCGGACCCCGGGCGCUCGAGUGCUUCUGCUGGCCCGUGCGAGGAAGAACAUUUUCCUUGACUUGUAGGUGCUUUUAUAUUCAUCUCAAAAAGAAAACAAAAUUCUGAACUCAGGAUUUGGCAAGUUUUGAAUCAGAACUGUCUUGUCUUCAACCAGAAGAGGUUAUUCAAGGUAUUUCUAUGUUGUCUCCUGGAGUGGGGUUGUCCUGCUUUUAUCAGGCCACCUUCCCUAUUCUUGAAAUGUGGAUAUCUCUUCUCUAAACUUUACCUCCAUGAUUUGGACUGGAAAAGGCUGCUCUUCUUUUUGUUCCACCUCUCAGAUUCAAAGAAGAGAAGCCCCUGGGAUGCAGUCAUCCUGCUAACUUCUCUAGGAAGAAAGAAGCAACUGACGUGCAUCUUCUGCUGCAAUUUGCUUAAUCACAAAUAAUUUUACAAGCUGAAGGCUGAUAUCAUUUGAAACAGGUGCUUAGAUGGUGAUAUUUGUGAAUUCUUUACCUUUUGUUCCAGACAAGAAGACGAAAUAGCAAGCAUGCGUGACAUCAGGGUGUUUUUUUUAACGUCUUCCAGUUUUGCCACUGUUGUGAUAAGCACAGUUGAGACUUGCAGCAGUAAAUUCCAAAUAUGUGUUCUAAUUUGAAGUGAAAGAGAUGCUUAAAAAAUUACAUAUAUUUCUAAUACCUGGCUCAUCUUUUGGCAUAGAUUUACUGGAUAAGAACAAAGGUCCAAUUUUGCAGUAAAACCUUUGAUGUGAUAAAGAAGCAUAAAGACAAGAUAUCACAAGGUUAGUUGCAUAUGUGAGUACAUUAUCACAACUCUAUAAAUACACAUUUUUACAUGUGUAAGUCCACAUUUUUGGAUGAUAAGAGGGAUAUUUCUCCUGGAGAAGGAAGCUGUGGUGGACUUCUUUCUCAGAAGUCUUUGGAUAUAUGGUAUUUUUUAAUGUUUUUUCAUUCUUCUAAGGAAUAACCACAUUGUGCAGAUGCUAACCCUAUGAGUGCAUGCUUGAGUUUAGUGAAAAAUUGGUAAAAGGGAACUAAACAGUUUUGAGUCCAGGGAUGGAACCCUCUUCACCACCCUAGGAUGAGAAGCUACUGUAUUAAAAUUAGUUCAUUCUUUUUCGUGCAGUCUUAUUUAUAUAGCACUUGAGACUUGGUUUUACAUGCUGCUAAGGCUGGAAGAAAAGUGGCAAAAGUGGUUUUUCUGUUCAGAAGAUCUUGGGAUGGACCCUACAGUAUGACCUGCCUUCACCUUUGGACAUACAGGAGUGGAGAAAAAAACGAGGAAAGUUUCCAUAUUACUCCUUUCUCCUAAGAAGAAGAAGUGAAAAUGCUUCAUGCAGCUCUGUCUGACUUUAUGGCGUUUCACAUUCUAUAGCUUUGUUUUUUGUAAAAGGAUAAGUAACUUUUUCCCUUUGAUCCAAGAUGGGUUCUUGGGUAUUUGAUUUAUUUUUCUAGGCAAUAGGUGUAUGUUUGGCUGAAAAGGCUGGGACUGAGGUAACUUUCCCCAGUUGGAACUGAACUUUCUCAUCAGAGAAUGGGCCUCAGAAGAAAUGUUCCCAGACUGUGGUUGGGUCAGUGUAGAUUUAGAAGAAAUCCAGGGUCUGAAAAAACUCAAACAAGAAAAAUAGUUCCAGUAAGAAAUAAUGAAUUUCCUUUCUUUCUGUUAAAACUUAUAACUAUCUGAUGAACAGACUACAGGGUAAAGCCGUCCUUGCUUCCAAAUCAACAGAGGACCAUUGUAUGAAUUGCCAGGUGUUUACAUAAGAAGAAUGAAACCUUUAUAAGUUUUUGUAAGUAAAGAAAGAAUUUACAGCUGGUUAGAUGAAAUUAAGAACAAAUCAUCUUAGAUCACCUCUGUGAUACAGGGAAUGUUUGCCCAGGGCCAUGCAUGUUGUGCUGCUGAAAUCUUGGGGCAGAUUUACCAGAAUUUGAGAGUGAUAAAAAUAGCCAAAAAUUGGAAAUAUUGAGCACUCUUAAUGAUUAGUUAAAUUGGUCAACCAAUUUGAAUUGGCAUAUGGAAGCGUUUUAGUAAAAUAAUUACAUAAUAUAAAAUAUAAUUUCCUUUAAUUGGGGGCAAUUACUGAGUGGUAAAGCAUAGUAGAAGUAACUUGGAUAAAGGUAACUUAAAUUUUUCUCUGACUUCUCAGCCACUUCCUGAUGUUUUCUAUCAGUAUUUUGGAAUUGAUAAAGACAGAAUGGAACCUAUAUACAUGAGUCCCGUUGGUAUGCUGGGAAUAUCAUAUGGAGAAUUUGUAUCUUCAGUUGUCUGUUACCCAUCCUCCCCAUGUUUUUUUGGGCAACUUUUUGGGUAGGAUUGUUUGGCAGGGGAUAGAGACCCUCUACUGUCAGCACCAGUGAAACCAUCUCUGGCCCACUUGUUUGAAUAAUUGUGUGUGUAUCAGACUCAUCUUCUCCAGUUGCUUUACAUAUUUUCAUUUCAAAGCUAAGAGAACCACUGUUUAAUGCUUUCAGGUUGUUUCUGCAUCUGCAUCUUCCAUGAUUUUCACCAGAUGGCAUUUAACAAAAUGGGUAUAUUCCAGUUGUAUUUGCCCAGUGUUUACUUAAUACAUCUACAUUGUUUUUCCUGGUCUAUUUUGGUCCACUUCAUGAUGGCAAAAGCUAUAAUUUUAGGCAGGACUAUGCCUCAAUCUGUAGCUGUGCCUACUUCCUUUCCUUUGCUCAUCCAUGUUAGCUGGCAGUUUUUCUUUUAAAAAGUUGAACAAAAAUGGGAUAUGUGCAAUAGAAAUAUAUAUAUGUAUAUUUUAAUACUUGUGGACAGAUGUUACAAGUUGUUUAAGAACAACAAAAUCACCAAUGUCUUCCAUUUUGAGAUGUGUAUAGUUUUGUAAGCAUUAGUGCUUGGUAGCAUAUUGUAGUGCCAUGUUAGGGGUUAGUGCAUGAGCCUAGUAAUAAUUUAAACUUCAGGAUGAAUUAUUGAUAAUAACUAAUAGUGUAAAAAGAGUGGAAAAUCUAGACCUUUUCUUUUCUCAUAAAUAUCUGAAUCCGUGAUAUUCUCCCUGGGGAAAAGAGAUUAAGGCCAAAAAGACUCAUUUAUGAAUAGAAAUAUGGGGUCACAAGGUGAGAUACUGUCUUUGAGGAUUUUUAAGCUUUCCAUGAGGUAGGAAACCAAGUUGCCUUUGUGUGUUAUGAAACCUUAUAUCAAAAUGAGGCCCCAUUUCAUGAUUCUGCUUUGCUCUCUUUGAGGUGAGACUGUUCUUACACUGUUUUCACAUUGUAUGUCUUGUAGGUUUAUUGUUUUCCCACUCUUUUUGCAUCAGAUUAUUUUACAUUUUGCAUGUCUUACUGAGAUGCUAUGUUAAUUGCUCAAGUGAGUGCUUUUCUAAUCUGAAGACCAUUUAUGUUUCCUAUCUGCAGUAUGCUACAUGUUAACAGAAGAACACUGGUCAGUAGUUGAGUGUCCUAGAUUAAUUUCUCUUGGGCUUUUCCUGUUUCCAAAUUUGCUGAAUUGUGUAUUGAUGAGAUUCCAGACCUUUUCAUGAGAAUUGGCAAUGUAGCUAAAUGGAGGCUACCUAGGUUGCCAUGUAUUAAUAUUAACUAACUCCCUGCUUGGUUAUAGUAAAUUGCCUCAGACAGCUUUCACUCUUUUCUCUUUUCCUUGUAGAAAGAAAAGUUGUUUUGUUCUGAAAGCAUAGCUUUCUGUAGAAAAGAAAUUCCUACCUCUAAAAGCUUUCUUGAGAACUUGGAAAUGGCAGUUUUCUGGGGUGAUUUUUAAGUCUCAGUAUUAGGAGAGUCCAGGAUUUAUUGCCACAGAUUCUAUAGUUAGUAUGAUAGGAAAUGCAAAACUUUUUUAAUGUGGUGUGUCUUGUGUGCAGAAGCAGGCUUAAAGAAAUUGACUCUUGGGCAGCAAAUCUCGAGGGACCCAGGUUUAGAUUCUUAUAGUGUACUUAAAGUAGUUGUACUCCUGGUUCAAUUAGUUGAGUGCCUGGGAGAAUCCACUUCUGAAAAGCAUUUAAACAUUAAAAAAAAAACCUCUGAAAAGGUAAUGAAUGCAAAAUAGCACAGUAUAUAGGAAAGAAUAUUUCCUAUUGCAAAAAAAAAAGCCAUAAAACAAACAAUUUUCAAGAGGUAGAAUUUCAGUAGCAAUAACAGUUUUGCAUGUAUACUAAGUUGCGUUAGCAGGGUUGUACAGUAGAAUACUACUUGAGUUUGAGGCUCUGUGAUAACAGAAUUCCAUGAAAGGAAAAAGAUGCUGUAGGUAAAGAGUAUGUAAAAGGUACUUAAAAAAAAACAAAACUAUGAAUGUAUAUGAAUAUGUCAUUAUGUGAGAAAUCGCAACGUUUGUGCAAGUUAAAGGUUAAAGACCCUACUUGUUUGCUAGAGCAGAGGGUUAGAGCCAUUUAAGCUUUUCUGAUGCUUAACCUGGAAACGUACUCCUACUGAGUAAACCCCACUGAAGCUCAUCGUGUGGGGAUUUUGCUUAUGAUGUUUCUUUUAACAACAGGCAUUUAUAAAAUGGCAUACUUUUUGCUUUGUCACCUCAUCUUUCUCCAGUAAGUUUCCUGGGUACAUUUUUUAAAGAGAGAGAAAAGUUUGCUGUGUGUGUAUAUUUAGAGUUUAAAAAAACAGACUAAGAACUUGGAUAGCUGGCUUUUCCUCAUGCCUGUUAGUGUAGGGACGUUAGGAUUUAAAGGUAUAAAGCAAAAGGACUGAAGGGAAUGGCCAGAGACAGUACACUGUCUAAUGUAGAUGUGCCAAGGCCUGUGGCCUGUGAUUGCUUAUUUUAACAAGAACCCAGCAAACUAGUUUCUUGAUCUGAAUCAUACAGCUCUCACAUCAGGAUGUAAUAACGGAAUGAGGGUGACUUCUUACUCCCUUUUACCUCAUGUUCAUCUUGGCCAUUUAGCACCUUGAAGAUCCCUGAAAAAAUUGUGUCUGUGUUCCCUUGUUUUCCCAGGGGAGAAAACUGAAAGAUGAGUGGAUCUAAGAAAAUAGUGCCUCUUGAAUAUUAGAUUCUUAAAUGGCAACUCCAAAGGAUAGAGAGAAGGCUAUAUUAAAUUGAUUAUAGCUCCUCUUUAAAUGUCCUAUGUCUUCAGUUUUGUGUUAGAGACAUUGGAAUAACCAAGCAAUAUUCAAACAUCUGCACGAUCACGAGGACACCACUGCAUAUUACAGUGAUGUCAGUAACAGUUUAGUUACUUAGAACAAUUAAAGAUUACCCUUAAUAGCAACAUUCAUAGUUUUAAAUGCUCAAAUGUGCUACAAGUUUUUGUAGUCUCAAAGUAUGGUUGAUACUUUUCAAUGUUGUUUUGGUCUCAUGUUUACUCUUUGUGUACCUGUGAUAUGCAAAAUAUGAAGAGACCCUUGGCCUCCAGGAGUUUACAUUCUCAUGGUGCUGCUGGUGCAAGCAAAUUGCUUCUAGUUUAUUCAGAACAUUGCUUGGCUGUUAAUUAUACCAUGUUUGGAAGGAUUCCUUGGCCAAUAGUUUUCAAAAGCAGAGGGCUAUGCUAAACUUCAGGGCAUUGAUUUUUGAGUUUACAUUGUAUUAGCUCUGCUGUUCAUGAACUCCUUUUCCCCAGGGAGCUGUGCAGGUAAUGCUUAUUAAUGUGAAUCAAACUAUUCUGCCUAAGAGCAUCUUCAUCAUCUCUAUACCACCUAUGCUCUUCUAUGCCAUCACUGUCGGUAAAUGGCCAAGAAAACUCACUGCUCCAGAGGACAUCUCUCAGUACUCUAUUUUCCCAAAUUUUUUACAUCACUCUCUACCCAAAAGGACCAGAAGUUGCAAUUAAUCCUUUUAUAACUGAAUAGUGGUCCUAAUUUUAACCUUUUUGUGUGUGACUUUUGUACCUCUGUUCUGAAGCAGCAUUGUGAUAGAUGUGGAGCACCUGCCUACAUUUCUAAGCAAUCACUUUAUUAACCCACAUUUUCAGUUGAAACUUUGCAUGUAAUUUCCUCUACUUCCUCUGAGUCAAGGGGUUUACUCUGCAUGUUUAUUAAAAGUGGGUCUGGAUGGAAGUGCAAGCAAUAGUGGCAGGCCCAUAACUCUUAUUUUAGAGUAUAAUAUUCUAAUGCAUGGUUGAAAAUGUCCAAUGUUAUGUGGCUACUAGUAAUUAGAUAUAUGCAUUUAUUAAUAAUGAAGCAAUAGAGACUUAAACCACUAGCUUGAAUUUAUUGUUUGGAUUAUUUUCAUUUUCUAAGAUUAUCUUACUUCCAUUGAAAAUGGAAGCUAGAAGAUAAACAGGGGCAACCAUAAGACAUUCAAACUGUCAGGAAUAGAGCAUAACAGUGCUAACCCUCUAACCUCUUGCCUGGUUCCAUUAGUCCCCAAGCAUGUUUAAAAACAAAAGGCACAAACUAAGCAUGUUCAAAUAAAUAAAGAAGCUGCUAUGGCUAUAAUAGAAAGGUGCAGAGUUUCAGAAAGAGUAUGGAAUACCAGUGUGGAAGAUGUAGAGUAACUAGGGAUGGGGUUUGUCUGAUACAAUUUAUGUGGCUUAAGUUUGGAUCUCUUAAGACUAGAAUCUUGGAAGUGAAUAGAGGCAACAUGGACAUAUUUCAGAUGUUCCAGGAUUUUCAGGUAACUAGGUGACUCUUUGGAUGGUACUGGUAUUACCCAACCAUAAAAGAUCCUUCCAGCAAAGGAGCCCAUUCCAUUUUAUGGAAAUAGUCCUUAAAAUAUAGAUACAUCUGUGGUUUGGUUUUUCUGUUGUUACUGUAUUUAAGUUUUUAAAGAAAUUUUUUUAUAGCCAGAGUUUUAUCCUUGAUGUUUUGGUUAGACUUCAUAAUUUGUUGCCUAAAGCUUUUGAUGCCAGGUAGACAGGAGCAAGUUUUCCUGUUUUGUAAAAAAGAAAAACCUUGCUGUUUAUUUUCUUACUUGAUGAAGAAAAUAGAUCAGUUCAUUGUAGUAGCUUAAAAUUUUUUGAGAUUAUUCCUGACUUUGAAAUAACCCAUGUAAGUACAUGUGAUCAUGACAAGUAAUGUACACAUGUGAUUCAUUAUAUUUGAAAGAGACCUAAGUAGAAGAGAAUUCAAGGUUAGACUGGAUGAUUUUCACUAGGCCCCUUCCAGGUUUCAUGUUCUAUGAUUGAAAAAUAAUUUUUCCAAAAUUAUUUCAACCUCAUUUUAAUCUUCACUUUGAAUACCUUUAGGAAUGUUUAAGUGGAAUGGUAACUUUCCAGUAGUUCCUAAUGAAUAACUUAUAGUCCUUUUACCCAGUUCAGGAAGUGAAAUGUCAUAUCCCAUAUGUAAAGUUUCAGUUUGGUACUUAUCAAUAAAAUGUCUGCCAGACAAUGAAACCAGUAAAGAUUUAAGGACAGAGUUUCUCUAAUCUCUGUUCCUAUUAUUUCCACUAGGCCAUAUUAAAAUGUUAAUAUUAGAAGCCCAGACAUCACAGAUUUCUCCAGGAACCCAUACUCGUAAACUUUUUUUUUUUUUUUCCUGGUACGCGGACCUCUCACUGUUGUGGCCUCUCCCGCUGCGGAGCACAGGCUCCGGACGCGCAGGCUCCGCGGCAUGUGGGAUCUUCCCAGACCGGGGCACGAACCCAUGUCCGCUGCAUCAGCAGGCGGACUCUCAACCACUGCGCCACCAGGGAAGCCCCAUACUCGUAAACUUUUAAAGUCAAGAGUAGAUAUCUUAAGGUUAGAAUUUUCAAAAGAUUUUGUCUCCCCUGGUGAUGGUAUGCCAUGCCAUAAAGUAUAAUUUUCUCCCAGGGAUAAAUAUUCUGGCAAUACAUUAUCAUCAGUCCGUAAACAACAGUAAUAGUCUUGGCGCUUACCUUAAAACCACCUAUCGCUGGUAAUUUAAAAGAUUCAUGUUAAAAUAACCUUUGCAUAGAGUUUUACUUCAGUAGCUUUUGUUUUUACUUGUUCAGAUCUGCUUCAUUGCCUCAUUGGUAUAUAAGAUAAUGUUAAAAGAAUUCAUUGAAUGUUUGAAGUUUUACAAAAGGCAGCUUGCUUUCUAAUCUAUGCAUCUUUGGGAUAUUAGAAGAAAUAUUCUUUGCUGUAAAAAGGAACUGCUGUAAAAGUUGGAAACUCUGCGCCUGUGUACAUAUAUAUUUUGGCAAUAAAGCAGCAUGGGCUGAGAAUGCA